CUGACCAAGGUGACAAAGGCGAUCAGCUUUCAAAAUUUAUGGGGGCCGCAAUAGUUAGGGCAAAUCAUUUCAGCCUCCCCAAUCGCCUCCAUCUCCAUUCUCGUUCUAGACUCUGAACUUGCCUUCUCUCUCUACAACUGCAAACUACAAAAUCUACAAGAAUCAGAAGUUCGAAACCCAUAUAUUUCAGUUUAUCGAUCAGUAUGCAAGAAUCAAAAGUUCAAAACCCAUAUCGGCAUAUCAUUUCAGAUUGUUCAAAAAAUCAAAACCCAUAUCUUUCAGUUUCCAUCGCCCACUGUUCCAGUUCGGGUUCGCCAUUCGCAAGCUUCAGCCGCUGUCUCUCAACUCUCAAGCUUGCCCCCCUCUCUCUCUGCAACUGCUAACUUGGUUAGCAUCGGGCGUUAACAUUUAGCAAGAAUAAGGUUCAAGAAAUAUGCCUGCUCAGUCAUCAGGUAACAAACUCACUUUUUUUAAAAUUUUAAUUGACAUUUUUAGCAAUUGGUUAAGUUUAUUUAUUCAUGUUUUACAUACUAAUUUUUUUUAUUUUUUAUUUUAUUUUAUUUUUUAUUUUAUUUUAUUUUUUUGCUUCUACAUACAUAUAUAUAAUAUUGUUAUGAUGUGAUGCUUGAACAAUUUAUUAAUAGGAAUUAAAGACUUGGAAGUUUAGUUUUCAAUUUCAGAAUAUAUGUUUUACAAGUUUAUUAACGCUUUAAAAACUUUUUCUCUUUUGUCCUAAUAAUAUAAGUUUCUUUUCUGAAAGAAAAGAUUUGAUGGGAAUGGGUGGAGUUGGCAAAAAGAAAACAGGUAUGUUUUUUUUGCCUAGCUAAUUGAAUUAUAUAAAUCCCUUUACUGUUGUAGCAGUGAUGUUGGUUUUAAAAUGACCAAUUAUGAUAGGAAGUCUCUUUUUAGUUUAUCUUAAUCAAACGUCUAUUUAUGCAAGAGGAUUAAGUGAUUCUAGAUGAUGAUUCUGGAUGAGGAUGUUAAUAUCAACAUUGUGAGGAUGUUGAUGUCAACGUUAACUCUAGUGAUGACAACCGAUGAUGUUGAUAAUAUGUUGAUGCACUCAAAUAAAGUCAAAGCACUUAGAAUUGAAGGAAAUUUAGAGUUGAAAACAUACUAUUGAGCAUAGUGUCUAAUUCUUUUAGUUACAAGAAUCUUUGGUCACUUCACACACGAUUUUUCAGUUCCUGAAAUUCCGAAACAAUGGUGUGUAAUAUGAUUCAUCUACUUGGGCUCUCUUCUUUUUCAUCUCUCUAAACCCUAUUUUAUCUGUGAAAUAGAAAAAGAAAAAGAAGACUAUGCAAUUUCAAUUUAAAUUUAUCAGUUUGAGCAUUGAUAGGGCUUCUGAAAUGUUGAAACUGAAACAGCAAAGAAGAGAGAGUCUACCAAUAAGACUUAGGACAAAAUAAGCUCUUUGAGCGUCUUGACUAAUAUUGGCAUGGGAGAUUUCUAUAGAAAUGGACUUGUAGAGAGAAAGAUAUAUGGUUGGGGGCACAAAAGUGUGCGACAACUGUGAACUAACGGUAGGGUUGUGAGCUUUUGGCUUGUUUCAUGCAUCGGAUCUAGGAAGUGUACAACAAUGAAAUGGAAAGCUCUGAUGCACUCAAAGUUACAAAUACAAUAAUUAAUAUUAUAUAUUUAUAACUUAAUCUACUAAUCUAAUAUAAUACUACGUAUAUCAUACAUACAUACAUAUAUAUAUAUAUAACUUUAUACUUAGACUUAGAUAUAUUUUGAUUUAGCCCACCCUAUUGAGAAAUCCUGGAUCCGCCCUUGUUUGCAUUCAUAUUAGAAACCUAAGUAAUAUCACAACACAGAGGAACAAUAUGGAAAAUUAAUUAUAUCUUUCAGUAAAUCAAUGCUGAUUGGUGAAAAAAAAAAUUAAUAUAUUGAGAAAAGCUACCAUAUAUGGACAAGACUUAUUACAACUAUUGGACCAAAUAUAAUAAACCAUAGAGAAAAGAUAAAGCUAAGGAAUUCUGAUAUUUUUCGAGAGAUUUGAUGGAAGGAGUUGGAGGGUAAUAACUUUUAUUUUAUUGAAUUGGGUAGCAUAGUUAAAGUUAGAUAAUGCUUAGCAAAAUUACGGGUGUUAGGCAUUCUCCAACCUAGUACAGCCUAGCAAGUUGGGUCAGGCAUGAGGUUCCUUGGAUUUGGAGCCCUCUGUUGUGGCCUCCUUCGUGUUUAGUCCCCUCAUAUGCUCAUUAUUUGCCAUUUGUGACUUGUCUUGAUAAUUUAUAUUAUAAUUCCGAUAGCCCAUUGGGGUUAAGACUUCUACACUGCUCGUAGAUUUCCCAUCUUCUCCUCACACUUGUUUAAAGCACAAGGUUAGACUGUACAUGUUGCUGAUGAGAUGAUCUAUCUCAUCCAGUUUCUAUAUUCUCUGAAACUUGAGAAGGCAAAACACUCAUUGACUUCUUCUUGUACUCUGUAGGGAGAUUAUUGAUCGUUUUUGGGCUUACUACAACUAGAAAGGAGAUUUACACAAAAAAAAAAAAAUUAAAUCCUUGGGUUUCAAGAAAAUAAAAAGAUUACAAUCAAAUUAAUUUAGUAUUAGUACUCUAUGGUGGCAUUUUGUUUCAACUGCUACUAAAAUAUUGUCAAUGUAAGCCUAUUUGUUGUAGUUCUUGAAUGUAGAAAAGGAACACUUAUCACGGGUGCUGCUGGAAUGCUCAUUUAAUAAACCUUUAUUUUUUUUUGUUCAAUUGAGGUAAUCACUAUGGAAAUAGUUUGGUGGACACCGCCACCAUGUCCAAAGACGGGGCAGUCAAACUCAUUGAACCUGGCUCUACAAGUGGUGGCGACCCCAUCAUUGUAUCAGAUUGUUCAAUGAGUUGCUGAAUGAGUUCCUUCCCAAAUGCAAGACUUGUGAGGAAAUAAGGUAAUAACUUUGACCGUACUAAGCUAUUUAUAAUAGUUUAUAUAUAAUUUGACAUUGUUAAUUUUUUAUUGUGUCUUUUCAGUGAGUUGUUCUAUUUUAUAAAGAACAAUCCGCUGUUUUUUAAUGGUGCUCAAAGGUACUAUUUCACCAAAAAGCUUAAUCGGUUCAAUUGCUGAAAGGAUUAGCCUAGGAAAGGGCUUAACAAAAAUGAAUGAUUGGAGUAGAAAGAUUAAGAAGGAUGAAAUGCUGACAAAGGUAUUCUAUGGCAUUUCACAGAAAAGAAAAAAAAAAAAAAAAAUCUUUGGCACUUCACAGAGAAGAAAACCAGUCAAGCGUAGAAAAUUAAGUCUGGCGUAGAAAAUUAAGGUCUGGAAGACCAAGAGGAGUCAUGAAGUUUCAACGUUGCUCAUUUGAGCACGUUGAAGAUCCAAAUACACCAAAAGAGAAAAAUAUUGAAAAAAUACUUGCGACGGUUGUUCUGCCUUUUAUCCGAUUUCGUACUUAAAACAUUUUAUGAAGUCGUGUGCCAGCAUUAUACGACGUCAACUUCUGAUCAACGGACUGCACUGAAUGAUGAUGAGUUGAGAGAAGACCCUUAUGUCCUGAGGACUCCACAAGCUUGGGGGACCUAUUGAGGGCAAUAAUGCCUUUUCAAUGGUCCCACAGUUCACAGUUCUUGACAUCUUGGCUUUAACUACCACUCGAUCAGGCUGCACCACGAUGGCCUUCUCCUUCUUGACCAGGAGGGAGUAUCCGACAGAGCUGACAUCGUUACAAAUAGGACCGGCAAACAAGUAAGCAUCAACAAAUGCAUAACCACUAGCAUUUGCACAGGCAUUUAUUACUUUCGAAAAUUGGGUGAGGGAUGGCAGGCAAAUUGUAGCUAAUAUUAUAUAUAUUUAUAUAUAUAUAAACAAAUGAAUUACCGGGCAAAAAUUUCUUAUGAAAUAGGAUCACCGCUGAAAAUUGGGUGAGAGAUGACAGGCAGGCUUGCUUUCUUUCAGAGCUGUAGAAAUUGCAGUAUCAAUUUGUUCAUGUUUAUCUUCCAAUUUAUUGAUAACAGCCUAUGUGUAAUAC
This is a long non-coding RNA of Cornus florida, 3955 nucleotides long. RefSeq lists it as uncharacterized. The record is from RefSeq and is a predicted model, not a curated record. The transcript has 6 exons. NCBI's taxonomy places the organism in Eukaryota, Viridiplantae, Streptophyta, Magnoliopsida, Cornales, Cornaceae.